Molecule: ribosomal RNA, 440 nt
Filed under: uncultured bacterium
Lineage: Bacteria
Description: partial 16S ribosomal RNA
Rfam family: Bacterial small subunit ribosomal RNA
Source: RNAcentral
CCUACGGGAGGCAGCAGUGGGGAAUAUUGCACAAUGGGGGAAACCCUGAUGCAGCGACGCCGCGUGAGUGAAGAAGUAAUUCGUUAUGUAAAGCUCUAUCAGCAGGGAAGAAAAUGACGGUACCUGAGUAAGAAGCCCCGGCUAACUACGUGCCAGCAGCCGCGGUAAGACGUAGGGGGCAAGCGUUAUCCGGAUUUACUGGGUGUAAAGGGAGCGUAGACGGCAGUGCAAGUCUGGAGUGAAAGGCGGGGGCUCAACCCCCGGACUGCUCUGGAAACUGUACGGCUGGAGUGCAGGAGAGGUAAGUGGAAUUCCUAGUGUAGCGGUGAAAUGCGUAGAUAUUAGGAGGAACACCAGUGGCGAAGGCGGCUUACUGGACUGUAACUGACGUUGAGGCUCGAAAGCGUGGGGAGCAAACAGGAUUAGAUACCCCGGUAGUC